RNAcentral lists this ribosomal RNA (497 nucleotides) under uncultured bacterium. Its description in RNAcentral is "partial 16S ribosomal RNA". It matches the Rfam family "Bacterial small subunit ribosomal RNA", at positions 28 to 507 of the family's 1533-position model. The record is from RNAcentral.
GAUGAACGCUGGCGGCGUGCCUAAUACAUGCAAGUCGAGCGAACGGACGAGAAGCUUGUUUCUUUGUUGUUAGCGGAGGACGGGUGAGUAACACGUGGAUACUCUACCUAUCAGACUGGGAUAACUUCGGGAAACCGGAGCUAAUACCGGAUGAUCUUCUGAACCGCAUGGUUCAAAAGUGAAAGUCGGUCUUGCUGUCACUUCUAGCUGGAUCGGCGCUGCAUUAGCUAGUUGGUAAGGUAAAGGCUUACCACGGCAACGAGGCAUAGACGACCUGAGAGAGGGAUCGGCCACACGGGAACGGGGACACGGUCCAGACGCCUACGGGAGGCAGCAGUAGGGAAUCUUCGGCAAUGGGCGGAAGCCUGACGGAGCGACGCCGCGUGAGUGAUGAAGGUCUUCGGAGCGUGAAGCUCUGUUAUGAGGGAAGAACAGAUGUGGAAGGAACUGUGCACAGCGUGACGGUAACUAAUCAGAAAGCCACGGCUAACUACGUG